Molecule: long non-coding RNA, 490 nt
Organism: Daucus carota subsp. sativus
Lineage: Eukaryota; Viridiplantae; Streptophyta; Magnoliopsida; Apiales; Apiaceae
Exons: 2
Source: RefSeq, a predicted model, not a curated record
AUUUACCAUCCGCUUUUCAUACUUAGUUGGUGCAGAUUUCUAAUUAUGUAUCAAGGAAAUACUUGAGGCAAAUGAGAAUAAAGAGUCAUGUUCUGUUUGCUGUAAAAUUUUCGAAGGAUUGGCCAACUGCUGAACAGUUGGAAGCAGAGGCAUAGCCAAGGACUGAAAUGGUCCAUUGAUGUAUCCAAACUCCUCCAACUUUCCUGUACAAAUGUUGUGACCUCAGUACCAGAUUAAGACAUGCAUUUCCUCAAUUCAUUACCUUAUUUAUAAUUUUUUGUUUUAUUGAUCGACAUGUGAAUUGUUUAUUUUACUUUAGGAUUAGAAAAAGCUUCAAGGACAGCUACUGGCAGGAAGUGGGAUUUUGAUGGGUUUAGGUUCAAGUUUUGAGAUGUAAAUUAGUCGAUUUAAUUAGUCAAGUUUAUUAUGAUUUAUGUAUGAUUUAUUGGAUGUUGGAUGUUGGAUUUUGGGUAUUGGAUUUUAGAUACUG